RNAcentral lists this ribosomal RNA (499 nucleotides) under uncultured bacterium. Its description in RNAcentral is "bacterial SSU rRNA". It matches the Rfam family "Bacterial small subunit ribosomal RNA", at positions 39 to 518 of the family's 1533-position model. The record is from RNAcentral.
GCGGCGUGCCUAAUACAUGCAAGUCGAGCGAAUGAUUAGAGAAGCUUGCUUCUCUCUGAUUAGCGGCGGACGGGUGAGUAACACUGGGUAACCUACCCUAUAGACUGGGAUAACUUCGGGAAACCGGAGCUAAUACCGGAUAAUACUUCGAAACACAUGUUUUGAAGUUGAAAGAUGGUUUCGGCUAUCACUAUAGGAUGGACCCGCGGCGCAUUAGCUAGUUGGUGGGGUAAUGGCUCACCAAGGCAACGAUGCGUAGCCGACCUGAGAGGGUGAUCGGCCACACUGGGACUGAGACACGGCCCAGACUCCUACGGGAGGCAGCAGUAGGGAAUCUUCCACAAUGGACGAAAGUCUGAUGGAGCAACGCCGCGUGAAGUGAAGAAGGAUUUCGGUUCGUAAAACUCUGUUGCAAGGGAAGAACAAGUAGCGUAGUAACUGGCGCUACCUUGACGGUACCUUGUUAGAAAGCCACGGCUAACUACGUGCCAGCAGCAGC